CCCAUAGGUUGGGUCGUGACAAAAAUUAAUAAAAAUAUAUAAUUUGUAAAAAAUAUUUUUGGUAACAUCAUUGCAAUUCUUUUCAAUAAUGAAAAAGACACCAUGGCAUGCCUGGUAAGCUCUUGCAAGCAGCAGCAAAUAGUAUACAAUUUCAGUACCGCGAGUAUAUUAGAUGAUGAAAGCUCUAUUUUGAAUUAGAUUAACACUCCUGUAUAUGAUGAGGCAAAACAAAGUGUCCCACACGCCAUAUUGCAAAGAAAGCGAGUCAUUAUGCAGUUUGAAACUUCUCAAGACUGGUAAACUCUUUCAUCUCGUCGGGUGAAUGCUAGAAUUUCCUGAAUCCAUUGGAAUGUCUCCACCAUUUGGGUUCUGUGGAUUGGCAAUGAUGCAGCUCUCAGAAGCAUUGUCUUGAUCAUGGCCAGCUCCAAACUGGAAUUCAGCUGGUGGAACGUCCAAAGGUUGCAUAAAAAUGUAGGUAGGGUUGAUGCUGUUGAAAGCAGGAACAAGAACUGGAUCAUUAACCUUUGUAAACCCAAAGUUAAUAGGGAAAAUUGGCAAUGCAGGCUUGUUGCCAUUAGAAGGCCCAAACAUUUUUUGCUCGUAUUCCUGCAACUGCUGGUACACAGCCUUAGUUAAGUCCACAGAUGAUCUCCGCUCUUUCACCCACUGGUAACUUUGUGCAAGCCUCCAUCCUUUCGACUUCAUCAAGUAAGCUAUCACAAUAGCUGGAGACCUGUCAAAAAGAACAUGGUUAUCAUUCUACCAAGCAACAAACUAAAAAUGCUUCAAUCAUUUCCCAGACUAUAUGUCAGGAGUAGUAGAUUGCCAUACAACAUACAAAAUAAUUUGAGAUCAUAUCUCACAGGGGCCCCAUCUAUGCAUAUUUUUGGUCCUUGAAACAAAAGAGGCAGGGAGACCACAUUCUACCUAUUUUUUCCUAACAUGCAGUGCACAAGAACACGGGCCUUAUCCUUUUCACAUUGCUCUGCAAAAUGCAAAGCAUAAUGUUAGCCUCAAAGCUCCAUGAGAAAGUAAAAGUUGGCAGUAAUAAUAGAUAAAAAAGUGCCACUUAAACUGAACAAUUUAUCAACUGAACCAAACUUGUUAAUGAUUAUCAUGGAAGGACUAUUGAUUAUGAGAAAAUUAUUCAAACAACUAUUACUAUGCAGAUUUUGAGAACAAGCCUUGGCACAAUGGUAAGUUGCUCUUUCUGUGACCAAGAGGUUAUGGAUUCAAAGUGUGGGUAUAGUUUUUCUACAAAAGGGAGGGGGAAAAGCAAAAACACAAGGGGAGAGCUGCAUAUGAUAAAUGAUCUUUGCAAAUCAGGAAGUCUCAUACACUAGGGACACCCUUAUUUUAGCAUAAAUCUCUUCAAAUAAGACAUAAUAUUUUUAAUUCACGUGGAUGGCUACCAUUUUAUUGAAUACACAUUGGUAUAUUUUCUGAUGAGUUCAUAAUACAAAUUAUGGCUCCAUUUAUGUCAUGAACAUAUGUGGAAAUAUAUUUUGAGGAAAACAUUUCCAAGAAAAUGACUUUAUUUUGUAUUAUUUGGUAGCAAUACCAAAAAUCAAUUGAAAGAUUUUUUUUUUCCCUAGUAUUUUGAGUACAUUUCAAAUAUCAAUUUUCAAACAAUAAACAAGACGAGAAAUAUUUGUGAGUGCAUAAUUUUCUGAUCACUCUGAUAAGUGGAAUUUGUCGAAAAAUGCCUUUUUUUUUUCUUUGAGGAUUCU
RNAcentral lists this unclassified non-coding RNA (1730 nucleotides) under Hevea brasiliensis (rubber tree). The record is from RNAcentral. Lineage: Eukaryota; Viridiplantae; Streptophyta; Magnoliopsida; Malpighiales; Euphorbiaceae.